CUGGCUCAGGAUGAACGCUAGCUACAGGCUUAACACAUGCAAGUCGAGGGGCAUCAUGGAGUUGCUUGCAAACUCUGAUGGCGACCGGCGCACGGGUGAGUAACGCGUAUCCAACCUUCCCUAUAGUAGAGGAUAGCCCGGCGAAAGUCGGAUUAAUACUCUAUGUUUUCCGUUGCAGACAUCUAAGAUGGAACAAAGGCUUGCCGCUAUAGGAUGGGGGAUGCGUCUGAUUAGGUAGUCGGCGGGGUAACGGCCCACCGAGCCAUCGAUCAGUAGGGUUCUGAGAGGAAGGUCCCCCACAUUGGAACUGAGACACGGUCCAAACUCCUACGGGAGGCAGCAGUGAGGAAUAUUGGUCAAUGGGCGAGAGCCUGAACCAGCCAAGUAGCGUGCAGGAUGACGGCCCUAUGGGUUGUAAACUGCUUUUAUGCGGGGAUAAAGUUCACUACGUGUAGUGUUUUGUAGGUACCGCAUGAAUAAGGACCGGCUAAUUCCGUGCCAGCCGCGGC
Molecule: ribosomal RNA, 509 nt
Filed under: uncultured bacterium
Lineage: Bacteria
Description: bacterial SSU rRNA
Rfam family: Bacterial small subunit ribosomal RNA
Source: RNAcentral